Long non-coding RNA from Neofelis nebulosa (Clouded leopard), 5229 nucleotides. RefSeq lists it as uncharacterized. Lineage: Eukaryota; Metazoa; Chordata; Mammalia; Carnivora; Felidae. The record is from RefSeq and is a predicted model, not a curated record. The transcript has 4 exons.
CCCCCCCCUUUUAUGUUCAAUCCUUAUGCUUUUGCUUUUUCUUGCACACUGGAUCAUCCAAGGCUUCUAAAACCUUGCUGAGUACAAGCAGUGGUAGCAGACCUGGGCUCCUACUUUAAUGGCUCUGCCUCUCCGAUCUCACCAUCAUUUUUACGUUUGCUGUGAGCAUUUGGAAGAUACUCUAUCAGGUUGUGAAGGUCCUUUAUUGCUGGCUCAUGAUGAGUUUUGAUUCAGGCAUAACUGUUGGAUUUUAUAAAGUGUUAUUUCUCUGAAGUGUUGCAGGCCCUUCUAGUGAGAAGCGGAACGUUAACAGUUAUCUGUUGCUGCCCAACGAUAUUCAAACCCAGUAGCUCUGAAUGACGAUAAUUUAUUUUCUCCGCUGUGCAAUUUGGCCUUGGCUAGCUCCUUUGGUCUGGGGCCACUCAUGUCAUUUGGCUGCUGUACCGGCAAGAGAUGAUUCAAGGUGACCUCACUCCCAUUUCUGGCCGUGGGCUGGGCCUGUCAGCCAACGGGUCCCAGUUGUUCUCCGUGCGGCCUCUCCAGGAGGGUGGCCCAGCGUUUUUGCAUCCCGGUGGCAGCAUCCCAUGACGGCUGCCCCUGAGGAGCGUCUCUGCUGGGCACGCUUGCUGUCACCCUGUUGGCCUAAGCAGGUCACAUGACUAGCGCCGGAGCCAAUGUGGGAGGGGCUAGGCCGGCAGGUGCCUCCAGGGGGUGGGCUUCACCGCGGGCGUUGAGACAAAGGUAUCGCACACGCCGUGUUCAGCUUUGGGCUGUGACAGAGGCCGGCGUGUCUAUACACGUUUGGGUCUAGGAGCUGCUUCAUCAGACCCAUGUCCCCACGCGCUCUGUCAUGACCGCCUGUCCCGUGCCUCAUGGCUCUGGAGACACCCAGUAACUUGGCUGCCGGGGGAAGGAAGAAUGUUGUAGACCUUCUUAACUCAGGAGUUUGGCUUCACUACAGGAGGAAACCCCGAGACGCUAAUUUCCUCUGGACCCAACCCCACCUCCUCUUGCAAGCUUUCCCACUGCCUGUGGUGACUCCUUGCCACCAAGGGCAGAGUUAUGGGGACUCCCUUGACCCGGCUCCCUCUCCCCUCCUCCCUGAUGCCUAUGAAGCCGGUGGGGGGGGGGGGGGGGGCGGUGGAGGGGGUUGCAGUCUCUUUAGAGUUUUCUUUAGAAAAGCUAAGGUGCAUAAAAUCAUCCCCUAAUCGCCCAAAGCUUGGCUCUAACCCCCAGCUCUGGCCUUCUGUAAUUUUUAGCAUGCUCGUUAUAGAUCAAGGUUAUACAGCAGAAUGCUUCAGUCCCGAGUGUGGUUGGGUUUAUGUGCUGUUUGGGAAGCGCUGGGUACUCCAGUGAUGAACAGAACGGAGGACACUUAUGAGCAACUGCGGGGUAGUUAACAUGACGGAUGGAGAAGCAUGGGGUGGUGUUUCCGCCUCCGGUCAGGUCACUGAGGAGAAAGGAAGGAGUAAUUAAGAUGGCUGGGUAAUGCUUCUGGAAUAGUUAGCCUCGGCAGGCCGGAGGCAAGUCCGCAGGGGCGGGGGGAGGAGGGGCUGGAGAGUCAGGAAAGGGAGUGAGCUGCUUGGGAGGCGGCUCAUUAACAUGGAAAUGAAGGAAGAGUGAGGCACUGACCUUGAACGGGAGGAGGGAGCUGGACAAGGGCCACCACGGAGAAGGUUAUGGCACUGAGGGAGUCACUUGCAGUCCCUGUGCUCAAACAUCAAGGUGGAACAUGAAUCUGAGCGUCGCCCUUCUCUAGCCCCUCACGUUGACUGAUGACAUUUUCUUGAUCACCAUUCUGCUAAUGGAGGAGGGAAAAUGAAUGUCAGCUCAGUGAGAUUCUACCUCAAAUUAACCUUUGACUCACGGCCCUGGCUGGAAUUGGAUUUUUCCCUCCCCAAAGCUUCGAGCUGAGUCGACGCCUCCCAGAGGAGCUACAGGGACACGGUCUUCUGUCCCUGUCCCAGAAGACUGCUUCUUCCACCAGGAUGGGACAGAAAGAGCUGGAAGGUGGGAUGGCCAGAGAUCGGAUGGCCCAUGACCAUCCUCCGCCUGGGCUCCGCUCUGCUCCCGCUGCCUGGACCAAAGUGCAGUUCCUUCCGAUCCCUGGAUAGAAAAAAACAUGGCUAAUCUGGAGGAACGCGUUUAAAAUGAAAUCCCAGACUGAAAUCCGUCUGCUGCCCCAAUUCUGGUCAGAGUGGAAGAAAAGAGCCACUGAAGGCUGGUUGUCGUGGCUCCAGAGGGAGCACAUGACUGCUGCCGUCUGGCCUUUGCAGAGAGCUGGAGAGUCUCUGUGCCUCAUUCUGCUCCAGAGCAAGCAGUUUUCUCUCCUUUGGUGCCAGAAGUGCUGAUGAGCACAUCUCUCCUCGGUGAGGAAGGGAAAGCUUGGACUGCGGGUUCUUCCGAGGAUCUGAAGCUCUUGGUCCUGGUUAUCUAUUUCCACUUGGUGCUCUGAGAGAUUAGCACUUUUCCUGUGAGCGGAGUGCAAUUUCUGUGAAUUCAAUCAAGAUCGUGGCAAGAUCCUGCAUGCCGCGACUCCUCCAGGGUGGACGCCAGGCUUCUUCAUCUGAGCGUCCUAGUGCCGAGCCCAGGGCAGGCCCUUCUGAAGGCCACGUCUGCCCCCCCGGGCCCUGGCAGCAGGUCGCCCUGGGCUCCCAGUGGAAUGAGCCAGAACCUGCUCACUGGGGUCAGCAGGCCCGGGCUCAGUCACCGGGAGCUACCUCUAGGGUUAAGACCUGUGCUGCCCGCUGGUCCUCUCAAACUAGGUCUCUUCCUGUGCACCGAUGAGAAAAAUCAGGGCUGCAGCCUUCCGGGAUGUACUAAAGAGGAAACAAGAUGGUGUCUGUCACUGCCCUGUAGGGCGCCUGGGACAGAAACAGGCACCCAGCAAAGGUAAGUGGGCUCCCUCCCUUCUGUCUCCCUCCUUUUGUUUCUAGGUUUUCCAUACUCACGAACUGUUCUGUCUCCGGGAGGAGUGAACACAGCACUGGGCUUCGAGAAUGAGCGCCGGGAUUUUCCUGCAGGAUUUGCCUCCUUCCAGCCUCCUCCCUUGGAGCGAAGCCCUCCCGAGAGGCAGCCCAGAGGACUCCUCCAGGACGUGGGGCCUGGCCUCACACUGCGGAGUUGAAGUCUCGCUCUCCAGUGCUUUGCUGGGCGGUCGCACUGCCCCUCUCUCUGUUUCUUCGUCUGUGAUACGAGAAGGACCAUGGUUCCCGUUUCCUUGGGUUGUCGUGGGGAUCAGAGGAGACAGAAGUACCUGUGAAACGCUUGGUGAGACUCCGUAAGGUUGAGCUACUUCUUCAUUUGCAAACUAACGUGGGGAUCAUACUCCCGACCGUGGCCGUGCUGAGAAGACCAGCAGACGGAGUGAAGAGUGUGAACACGCCUUUGGAGUCUGCAGAAUAUGCUAUACAUACAGGAGUCGUUGUUACGCCGCCCUCGGAGCCUUUCCGGUGGCCUCUCGUGGACCAUGUGCUCUUCCAGCGGAAACGACAGCUCCAACUUUGUGUCCCCACGAACUUCUCUUUCAGCGUCUGUAACUCCGAUUGGCCUUUCUGUUCGCACGCCUGACCCCUCACUCGAUUGUACUCUCCUUGUGCUAAAGGAACGCAUCCGGUUCAUUCCCGUACCCCCAGCGCCCAGCCAAGGGUGCGCAAUAAAUGUCCACAGAACGAGGGGCGCCUGGGUGGCUCAGUCGGUGAAGUGUCCGACUUCGGCUCAGGUCAUGAUCUCGCGGUUGGUGAGUUCGAGCCCCGCAUCAGGCUCUCCGCUGUCAGCACAGAGCCUGCUUCGGAUCCUCUGUCUCCCUCUCUCUCUGCCCCUCCCCUCCCCAAAAGUAAAGAAAGAUUAACAAAAAUAUAUCCGCAGAACGAAUCCAGGACUUCAAAGGGACAGAGGUUGACCAGAAAGCCCUUGCCCCUAGCUCUGCUCCUUUAUAAUUUACUGAUAUUUCCCUCUCUUUGGGGAAGAAGGGAAAUCUCAUUAGAUGGUGAACAUGUUAGUCUGGAUAUGGGUACAAACAGCUGUACAACACCCAGCGUUGGCCCGGCUGGGCCGUGAGCAGAGACCCUGAUAUGACGUGAUCUCUGUGGACGCCAAGCUCAGUGCUGAAUGGCACGAGAACUGGCUAGUUUGCCGUCAGAGACGAGGUCCGCUCACCAGGGCCCCUUUGUAAUCAGCGCUGAAAUCUGACCUGCACAGGAGACCCUGUCCUGAGCACGCUUCUCUUCCACGCCCGUGUGUCAAGGUCCAUGGCCUCCACUGAGCUUAAACACACACGUGUGUCUCAGCUCCCUGCCCCGUCAGCUGGAGGCCAAGGGAGCCCCUCUAGAGACUGGACACUGCUGAGAGCCACAGGCAUGGUGGGACCGUCUCCUGGGGGGGGGGCCUCGGUCCGUUCGCCGGGGUCAGUACCACCCUCUUCAAACCCAACUGCUCACUGACCUGCCUUCCAGCUCCUUUGGGCCACCUCGAAGCCACUGAGGCCAAAAUGACAAGCGUAAAGAUCGUAGCUACAAGGGGCUAGGUUAAUAACAACUCUACUGACUUAAUACUACUUGAAUAACCCUUUACUAUCUACAGGCCAUAUUUAUCGCCGGUAUAUCCCCUACACCUCACCACAAAAACCCACGAAGUGCGUAUUUAUUGUUAUUUCCCCCUCUGCGAAGUGGACUUUAUCAGGAUGUUUUGUGGCUUGUCCGCGAUCGCAGAGCCAGCGACGGAAGGUGACGUUUUCCUGCCGUCAAGCUCAGUGGUCUGGACACUGCUCCGCUAAGUUACUGUAAAUGAAUGGCCUACAGGACUUUCCAGAGCAGCUCUGUUUGAGGGUUGUUUAUUGGUGGAAAAACAAAACGGCGUUUCAGGACCAGAUCUUUUGGGGAAACACUCUUCGCACAUAAUGAAAUGAUUUUCUUUACAGUGGGUUCUUUAGAGCCUUUCCCUUGUCCGUCCUCAAGCCGUCCAUGCGACCCUGUGGGACCUAAGCUGGCAGGAGGGCCUCCGAGGUGGCGUGGAAGCUGAGAAGAAUUGCACAGAAGAGGCCGCGGCACAGAAUUGAGCCCCGAAGGGAAACAUACCAGCGUCGUUAACACAUGAAGGUCAAAUCCAGGCUGCUCAGUGUGCAUCCAGAGCUCCUGAGUCGCCGGGCCAAGGCGGACCUCCCCCCUGCUUGGCCUCGGCUGCCGACGGUGCCCAAGAUGCCGGGAGCCGGCUGUUCUCUCUUACUAAAUU